Podarcis lilfordi (Lilford's wall lizard) is the source of this 78-nucleotide non-coding RNA. Lineage: Eukaryota; Metazoa; Chordata; Lepidosauria; Squamata; Lacertidae. The record is from the annotation of a GenBank genome assembly.
AGCAGGAUAGCUCAGCCAGUAGAGUAUCAGGCUCUUAUUCUCAGUCAGGGUCAAGGGUUCGAAACCCACUUUGGGCUA